CACGCAUUGAAAUGUUGGUCCUCACACGAGGACAAUUCUGCAAAUAUUCAGCUUCAUAUUCACCAGUGGCGCACACAAUCUGCACACGAUUAGAAAGCAUAAUUAACUGGUGAAUUUUACAGCCCUAUAAAUAACAUUACAGUAGCCACGCAAAUUCGUGUCCACAAACAUAAUAUUCACACACAAUUUGAAAAUAUUCAUUUAGUAUCCACAUAAAUGUAAAUUGUUUCAUACACCUGUGCAUUCGAUUGUUACCAACAUCAGCACUCUUUGAUGCAUGAACACCAUGAGCAUGUUGUUUAAUGCAAAUGAAACAAACACAACCAAAAAAGAAAAAGAAAAACCACAUGUCAUUAGUUGGUGAUUCAUAAAUAGACCUAACUCUAUGAAUAUAUUUAUGAAACUCAACAUAAAACACAAAAAUAAAAACAAAAAUUCAUUCAAUAUACCUUUGCACUUGACCGUACGUGCUCCCCCACCAGCAAUCACAGAUCUAUCAACCACAACACCCUGAUAUGGAAUUAGUAAAAUACUAUAUUAGAACAAUCUCUAAUGACUUUAAAAUUAAUACAAUAAUGAUUU
Molecule: long non-coding RNA, 582 nt
Filed under: Salvia miltiorrhiza (redroot sage)
Lineage: Eukaryota; Viridiplantae; Streptophyta; Magnoliopsida; Lamiales; Lamiaceae
Description: long non-coding RNA (SMIL_LNC001953)
Source: RNAcentral